Molecule: ribosomal RNA, 517 nt
Filed under: uncultured Basidiomycota
Lineage: Eukaryota; Fungi; Basidiomycota
Description: LSU rRNA
Rfam family: Eukaryotic large subunit ribosomal RNA
Source: RNAcentral
GGUCUUCGGAUCGUCCGAGUUGUAAUCUAGAGAGGUGUUUUCCGUGCCGGACCACGUACAAGUCCCUUGGAACAGGGCGUCAUAGAGGGUGAGAAUCCCGUCCGUGACGUGGACUACCGGUGCUCUGUGAUACACCUUCAAAGAGUCGAGUUGUUUGGGAAUGCAGCUCAAAAUGGGUGGUAAAUCCCAUCUAAAGCUAAAUACAGGCGAGAGGCCGAUAGCGAACAAGUACCGUGAGGGAAAGAUGAAAAGAACUUUGGAAAGAGAGUUAAACAGUACGUGAAAUUGUUGAAAGGGAAACGCUUGAAGUCAGUCGCGUCUGCUGGGACUCAGCCUUGCUUCUGCAUGGUGCACUUCUCAGUAGAUGGGCCAGCAUCGAUUUUUGGUGCCGGAAAAGGGUGAGAGGAAUGUGGCAGCCUAGCUGUGUUAUAGCCUCUUGCCGUACACGGUGCCGGGGAUCGAGGAAUGCAGCACGCCUUUGGUCGGGGUUCGCCCACGCCACGUGCUUAGGAUGCUG